GCUGGGUGUGGUGGCGCAUGCCUGUAAUCCCUGUGGCUCAGAAGGCUGAGGCAGGAGGAUCUCGAGUUCAAAGCCAGCAAAAUUGAGGUGCUAAGCAACUCAGUGAGACUCUGUCUCUA
Molecule: small RNA, 119 nt
Filed under: Marmota monax (woodchuck)
Lineage: Eukaryota; Metazoa; Chordata; Mammalia; Rodentia; Sciuridae
Source: RNAcentral